RNAcentral lists this long non-coding RNA (1500 nucleotides) under Androctonus crassicauda. Lineage: Eukaryota; Metazoa; Arthropoda; Arachnida; Scorpiones; Buthidae. The record is from RNAcentral.
CAAAUACAGUAAUCUAGAGUAUAGAGGAGGGAAGGCAAGAGAAGAACUAAUUUUCUGAAAAAUAUGCCAAACAAAUAAAUUUUCAUAAAAACUUUUUAAAAUAAAAUUUCAGUCCAAAAAUAUUUAGCAGUCAUCAUCAGAAACUAACUAUAGUCCUUUUUCAAAAACCCUUAAACACAACUGUAAUAAACUAAUUAUGACAGCCAAAUUGCAGCUGUAAAAUUUUGCUAUUUGUUUUGUCAUGGAUAGCAUGUGCCAUCAAUAGCUGACCUUGGAUGACAUAUGCCAUAAGGAGAGCCAGAUGCUUUUGACCAAAUUUAGAAUUUAGGAAUAUCUUCAAUUAAAAUCUAAAAAUUUUUUCUCAAUUUUGUGCUAAAAUUGAAAGAUAUAAUUCUCUUCUUUGAGAAAUUCUAUUGAUCACAAUUUUCCAAUUUUGAAGAAAUGUGGAAUGAAAAAUGUUUAUCAUCAAACAACCAAAUAUCAGCCAAAUAAUUUUAUAGUUUAAUAAUUAGUCAUUUAGGUAGAAUCAGUGGCAGAAAUUUAUCAGUAAUUUCAAUUAUUUCUAGAUUUAUAAUGCUAGUUUUCUUAGUAUGUAAAAUAGUAUGAAAUAACGAUGCAUUUAAAUUUUUGUGUAAAUAAAAGUUCAGAAUAUGAAAAUGAAUCUGUACUAAAGCAAUAUAGUUAUUCCAUAGGUUAAACUUGUUUAAUCUUAUAUAAAAAAAAUAGUAAACUUUUUAAAAAGGUCAUAAUGAAAGUAAUUGAGAUUUUAAACUUUAGAUUCUUAAUGCAAUUAUGAUAAUUAGUAAUCAAUUAUGAAUUUUCAACAAUUUCUUAAAAAUUGAAUGCCUACAGUUAAGAUUUUCAAGUAAAAUCAAUAUGCAGGAUAUUGGUAUCUAUCAACAUCCAGCAAAAUUUUGUUCAAAUUGGUGAGUCAGUUGACAGUUCUUUUUGUAAGUCUGCUUUUUCAUUUUCAGCUAUUGGAGGAUAUAAACUUGUGACCAAGAAAGAGUACUGAAAUAAAUGUGGGAUCCUUUUUUCAUUUCCAGGAUAGUGUUUUAUAUGCAAAGAGCAUGAAAAUAAUUUCCUUUUUUAUACCCAGAUCCCAUUUGUUUAUCCAGAGAUGCAUUCUAAAAUGUUUUUUAGUUGUAAAAUUCUGUGUUUAUCAUUCUGGGGUAAAGAUUUUCUUCUUAAGUGGUUUACAUUGUAAUUCAAUUACCACUCUUAAGUUUUGUACAUAUAUCAUCAGAUGUACAGUCUGUUUAAUAAAGGUGUAGACAUCGUCUGUAGGAGCAGCAAUGAUAGGAAGUAGAUCACUUACAAUGUCUGGAAAUUCACAGCACAGCUUCCUGUAAUGAAAUUGACUGUUCUUGUUGCCCUAUAAAUAGGAGUGUGGAGAUUAUGUAGUGGGGGAGAAUUUCAAUGACAUAAGUGACAUGAUUAAUUCCUAGUACAUUUGUUGUAUUUUUUGAUUGCUUUAAUUUUUAUAAAACACAAAAAAAC